This is a non-coding RNA of Gnomoniopsis sp. IMI 355080, 72 nucleotides long. The record is from the annotation of a GenBank genome assembly. NCBI's taxonomy places the organism in Eukaryota, Fungi, Ascomycota, Sordariomycetes, Diaporthales, Gnomoniaceae.
GGGGGCAUAUUUUAGUUGGUAAAAUUUCAAUUUUGCAUGUCGAAGUCCUCGGUUCGAUCCCGAGUGCCUCCA